GUAGGGUGCAAGCGUUAAUCGGAAUUACUGGGCGUAAAGCGUGCGCAGGCGGUUUUGUAAGACAGUGGUGAAAUCCCCGGGCUCAACCUGGGAACUGCCAUUGUGACUGCAAGGCUAGAGUGCGGCAGAGGGGGAUGGAAUUCCGCGUGUAGCAGUGAAAUGCGUAGAUAUGCGGAGGAACACCGAUGGCGAAGGCAAUCCCCUGGGCCUGCACUGACGCUCAUGCACGAAAGCGUGGGGAGCAAACAGGAUUAGAUACCCUGGUAGUCAAGGGCG
Molecule: ribosomal RNA, 276 nt
Filed under: uncultured Burkholderiales bacterium
Lineage: Bacteria; Pseudomonadati; Pseudomonadota; Betaproteobacteria; Burkholderiales
Description: partial 16S ribosomal RNA
Rfam family: Bacterial small subunit ribosomal RNA
Source: RNAcentral